This 857-nucleotide ribosomal RNA is filed under the name Calycina cortegadensis. RNAcentral describes it as "partial large subunit ribosomal RNA". It matches the Rfam family "Eukaryotic large subunit ribosomal RNA", at positions 86 to 960 of the family's 3401-position model. Lineage: Eukaryota; Fungi; Ascomycota; Leotiomycetes; Helotiales; Pezizellaceae. The record is from RNAcentral.
ACGGCGAGUGAAGCGGCAACAGCUCAAAUUUGAAAUCUGGCCCUCUCAGGGUCCGAGUUGUAAUUUGUAGAAGAUGCUUUGGGUGUGGCUCCGGUCUAAGUUCCUUGGAACAGGACGUCGUAGAGGGUGAGAAUCCCGUAUGUGACUGGCUGCCUCCGCCCGUGUAAAGCUCUUUCGACGAGUCGAGUUGUUUGGGAAUGCAGCUCAAAAUGGGUGGUAAAUUUCAUCUAAAGCUAAAUAUUGGCCAGAGACCGAUAGCGCACAAGUAGAGUGAUCGAAAGAUGAAAAGCACUUUGGAAAGAGAGUUAAACAGUACGUGAAAUUGUUGAAAGGGAAGCGCUUGCAAUCAGACUUGCGCGCGGCCGAUCAUCCGGAGUUCUCUCCGGUGCACUCGACCGCGCUCAGGCCAGCAUCGGUUCCGGUGGUUGGAUAAAGGCUGCGGGAAUGUGGCUCCUCUCGGGGAGUGUUAUAGCCCGCGGUGCAAUGCAGCCUACCGGGACCGAGGACCGCGCUUCGGCUAGGAUGCUGGCGUAAUGGUUGCAAGCGACCCGUCUUGAAACACGGACCAAGGAGUCUAACAUUUAUGCGAGUGUUUGGGUGUAAAACCCAUACGCGGAAUGAAAGUGAACGGAGGUGAGAACCCUUAAGGGUGCAUCAUCGACCGAUCCUGAUGUCUUCGGAUGGAUUUGAGUAAGAGCAUAACUGUUGGGACCCGAAAGAUGGUGAACUAUGCCUGAAUAGGGUGAAGCCAGAGGAAACUCUGGUGGAGGCUCGCAGCGGUUCUGACGUGCAAAUCGAUCGUCAAAUUUGGGUAUAGGGGCGAAAGACUAAUCGAACCAUCUAGUAGCUGGUUCCUG